UUUGGGGGCGGCUUUGUAGGAAAGUCUUAUUGAUUAUAUUUCAGUUAAUUUAGUGAGGUGUAGUUCAUAGACGCCCACUAGAUGGCGCCAAAGCCCCACAGUAAUUGUUAUUUUCUUAGUGUUAGUUUGUGUUUUGUCCCUUGCGAGCUCCUGUAGUUCCCUCGUGCAGUCUACCGAGCUGGAAGCAGCUGCACUGUGUGUUUGGUGGCAAAUACUCUUUAAAUUCACCAUUUGUGUGCGUCAAUUUGACCAAACCACACAUAUACCAUACACUUACGCUCCACAGACACACACCUCUGAUCACAACACUAUCUUGUACCGAGCUGAUGUCCCAGUGCUGUGUACUCAACACUAAAUUGGCUAUUAAAGAUCUGUUGAAUGAA
Long non-coding RNA from Astyanax mexicanus (Mexican tetra), 383 nucleotides. RefSeq lists it as uncharacterized. The record is from RefSeq and is a predicted model, not a curated record. The transcript is spliced from 2 exons. NCBI's taxonomy places the organism in Eukaryota, Metazoa, Chordata, Actinopteri, Characiformes, Acestrorhamphidae.